AUCCCCUAGAAAUUACCCAUUUCUCAUCUCGCUCCCGAAAAAUUCUCGGAAUCUCCUGUCUACUGGGAUCGGAUCUGUAAUUGCCCGUUCCUAGCUAUGGAACUCUAUUCCAUAUAAAAUUUUAAUAAUUUAUACUACUACAAAAUCAUAACGAGCCGACAUGAGUCGUGGGUUAGUUCAAUAGUUUCUGAGGCGCAAAUACGGCUAACCAACAGUCCAAUUUCUCGAGUCCGAUGAUAAAGAUUUUGGUGUUUUGUGCUUUCUUGGAGGAAAAGUGUACCGAAACGAGGAACGAAGACAAUGGUGGCCGGCGCGGCUAAUAGUGAAUUUACGGGACAUGAUCAUACAGAACAUGGCCGGCUUCUGUGCACCAGCUCUCAAGUCAGACAAAUCUCGUGCACAUGUAAAAUUAUAUAGCAACUCUGAUCAUCAAAUUGAUGGUUUCUAUCCUCCUAUUACAUGUAAGUGCUCACGCUAGUUUUCACCUUUUUUUUUUUCGAGAUUUGUUUUUCAGUGUAAUGAGUUUUUUUUGUAUUGUUACAAAUUCAGGAUUAAGGGAAUUGGUUAAAAAGAUAGGGCUUCUAACGUGUUUUUGAAAUUGAGGAUGUUUUUUGGCUUGAUGUCUGACGAAAUAGCCAAUGCAGUUCUGGAGUUCGAUGAAAAGGAUCCGUUUACUUUGUUCUAACUCGGAAAAAGAGUGUUCCAGAGAAUUCCUGAGAACGAGAUGCAAAGACAGUGGUGGUUGGUUAAUAGUGAAUUUAGGGAAGACAAUGGUGGCCGGCGCGGCUAAUAGUGAAUUUACGGGACAUGAUCAUACAGAACAUGGCCGGCUUCUGUGCACCAGCUCUCAAGUCAGACAAAUCUCGUGCACAUGUAAAAUUAUAUAGCAACUCUGAUCAUCAAAUUGAUGGUUUCUAUCCUCCUAUUACAUGUAAGUGCUCACGC
Molecule: long non-coding RNA, 945 nt
Filed under: Daucus carota (carrot)
Lineage: Eukaryota; Viridiplantae; Streptophyta; Magnoliopsida; Apiales; Apiaceae
Description: long non-coding RNA (DCAR_LNC001630)
Source: RNAcentral